UUUGAUCUUUAUUGGUUGUUCUUCGUACUCGUUGGCUCAGGGCGAAUCGGUUUUGUGUUAAGGGUUUAGGGAUUUUUAGAGGUUGGAUUCGAACUCGAAAGGGGGUAUUUAGAGGGUUAAGUUGUGUUUUGAGGAGGGUGGCCGGAGAAGAAGGGAGGCUAUUUUGUGUUAAGGGUUUAGGGAUUUUUAGAGGUUGGAUUCGAACUCGAAAGGGGGUAUUUAGAGGGUUAAGUUGUGUUUUGAGGAGGGUGGCCGGAGAAGAAGGGAGGCUCCACCGUAAGCCGUCGCUUUCGGC
RNAcentral lists this long non-coding RNA (295 nucleotides) under Lathyrus oleraceus (garden pea). Its description in RNAcentral is "Pisum sativum (pea) long non-coding RNA (PSAT_LNC035187)". Lineage: Eukaryota; Viridiplantae; Streptophyta; Magnoliopsida; Fabales; Fabaceae. The record is from RNAcentral.